Poecilia reticulata (guppy) is the source of this 420-nucleotide long non-coding RNA. RefSeq lists it as uncharacterized. The record is from RefSeq and is a predicted model, not a curated record. Lineage: Eukaryota; Metazoa; Chordata; Actinopteri; Cyprinodontiformes; Poeciliidae.
UUGUCACUACAACUUUAGGUUCGGGGACUUUGGGGAUUUCAGCUGUUGCCAGGUGGUUGUGGUUUCUAACCCCUGUGAAUACAGGGGGCCCACUAUGAUUAUGUAACAUGUGGAACCACCAGGGGUUCCACAUGUUACAUGUGGAACCCCUGGUGGGAGCUCACUAUGGGAGCCCACAUAGUGAGCUCCCAUAAAAGGGAGGCUGGUGACCAAUUGUCAAUCUCCUCUGCUCGACCAGGUGUGUUGGCCCACGCGUUUGUGAUCAGGGCCACAUUUCAUGUUUUGAUCGGACGAUUGCUCUACCUGGGCGUGCGGUUGAUCGACGCUGCAGUUGUCGCUGCACCCUGCUGUUCUUUUAGAGUUUGAUUUUCUUCCAUUGUUUUUCAUUUAUUUUGUUUAUCUAUUGUUUUUGCAAAUGCA